RNAcentral lists this ribosomal RNA (253 nucleotides) under uncultured bacterium. Its description in RNAcentral is "partial 16S ribosomal RNA". It matches the Rfam family "Bacterial small subunit ribosomal RNA", at positions 524 to 776 of the family's 1533-position model. The record is from RNAcentral.
UACAGAGGGGGCAAGCGUUGUUCGGAAUUACUGGGCGUAAAGGGCGCGUAGGCGGCCUGCUAAGUCGAACGUGAAAUCCCUGGGCUCAACCCGGGAACUGCGUCCGAUACUGGUUGGCUUGAAUCCGGGAGAGGGAUGUGGAAUUCCAGGUGUAGCGGUGAAAUGCGUAGAUAUCUGGAGGAAUACCGGUGGCGAAGGCGGCAUCCUGGACCGGCAUUGACGCUGAGGAGCGAAAGCCAGGGGAGCAAACGGG